AUUGAACGCUGGCGGCAUGCCUUACACAUGCAAGUCGAACGGCAGCACGGGAGCAAUCCUGGUGGCGAGUGGCGAACGGGUGAGUAAUAUAUCGGAACGUGCCCAGUCGUGGGGAUAACGUAGCGAAAGCUACGCUAAUACCGCAUACGAUCUAUGGAUGAAAGCGGGGGAUCGCAAGACCUCGCGCGAUUGGAGCGGCCGAUAUCAGAUUAGGUAGUUGGUGAGGUAAAGGCUCACCAAGCCGACGAUCUGUAGCUGGUCUGAGAGGACGACCAGCCACACUGGGACUGAGACACGGCCCAGACUCCUACGGGAGGCAGCAGUGGGGAAUUUUGGACAAUGGGCGCAAGCCUGAUCCAGCAAUGCCGCGUGCAGGAUGAAGGCCUCGGUUGU
RNAcentral lists this ribosomal RNA (393 nucleotides) under uncultured bacterium. RNAcentral's name for it is "bacterial SSU rRNA". It matches the Rfam family "Bacterial small subunit ribosomal RNA", at positions 30 to 426 of the family's 1533-position model. The record is from RNAcentral.